UACGAAGGGGGCUAGCGUUGCUCGGAAUCACUGGGCGUAAAGGGUGCGUCGGCGGGUCUUUAAGUCAGGGGUGAAAUCCUGGAGCUCAACUCCAGAACUGCCUUUGAUACUGAGGAUCUUGAGUUCGGGAGAGGUGAGUGGAACUGCGAGUGUAGAGGUGAAAUUCGUAGAUAUUCGCAAGAACACCAGUGGCGAAGGCGGCUCACUGGCCCGAUACUGACGCUGAGGCACGAAAGCGUGGGGAGCAAACAGG
This 253-nucleotide ribosomal RNA is filed under the name uncultured bacterium. RNAcentral's name for it is "partial 16S ribosomal RNA". It matches the Rfam family "Bacterial small subunit ribosomal RNA", at positions 524 to 776 of the family's 1533-position model. The record is from RNAcentral.